AGAAACUUAGGUUUACCCCAAACCGGAGGCCUUCAAAGCCUCAAACAAGAGUUAAACCCUCUUAGUUUCUG
This 71-nucleotide transfer RNA is filed under the name Anthoscopus minutus. Its description in RNAcentral is "tRNA-Trp". It matches the Rfam family "tRNA". From Rfam's summary of the family: Transfer RNA (tRNA) molecules are approximately 80 nucleotides in length. Lineage: Eukaryota; Metazoa; Chordata; Aves; Passeriformes; Paridae. The record is from RNAcentral.